AUUGAACGCUGGCGGCAGGCCUAACACAUGCAAGUCGAGCGGCUGAAGGGAGCUUGCUCCUGGAUUCAGCGGCGGACGGGUGAGUAAUGCCUAGGAAUCUGCCUGGUAGUGGGGGAUAACGUCCGGAAACGGGCGCUAAUACCGCAUACGUCCUGAGGGAGAAAGUGGGGGAUCUUCGGACCUCACGCUAUCAGAUGAGCCUAGGUCGGAUUAGCUAGUUGGGGGGGUAAAGGCCUACCAAGGCGACGAUCCGUAACUGGUCUGAGAGGAUGAUCAGUCACACUGGAAGUGAGACACGGUCCAGACUCCUACGGGGGCAGCAGUGGGGAAUAUUGGACAAUGGGCGAAAGCCUGAUCCAGCCAUGCCGCGUGUGUGAAGAAGGUCUUCGGAUUGUAAAGCACUUUAAGUUGGGAGGAAGGGCAGUAAGUUAAUACCUUGCUGUUUUGACGUUACCAAAAGAAUAAGCACCGGCUAACUUCGUG
RNAcentral lists this ribosomal RNA (483 nucleotides) under uncultured bacterium. RNAcentral describes it as "partial 16S ribosomal RNA". It matches the Rfam family "Bacterial small subunit ribosomal RNA", at positions 30 to 507 of the family's 1533-position model. The record is from RNAcentral.